Rattus norvegicus (Norway rat) is the source of this 69-nucleotide non-coding RNA. The record is from Rfam. NCBI's taxonomy places the organism in Eukaryota, Metazoa, Chordata, Mammalia, Rodentia, Muridae.
GGGGAUUUAGCUCAGUGGUAGAGCACUUGCCUAGCAAGCUCAAGGUCCUGGGUUCGGUCCCCAGCUCCG